GUAUGUAUGUGUCUGUAUGUGUGUUUGUCUCUGUAUGUAUGUGUCUGUAUGAUAGACACAUACAUACAGAGACACACACACAUACAGACACAU
RNAcentral lists this microRNA precursor (93 nucleotides) under Pelobates cultripes (western spadefoot toad). Lineage: Eukaryota; Metazoa; Chordata; Amphibia; Anura; Pelobatidae. The record is from RNAcentral.